CUCUCUCCAAACCCUAUUCAUUUCAUUCGGCCGCUCUUGCAUUCUUCAAACCCUAAUCUUCUUCAUCUUCAACCCCCCAAAAGCACAAACCUGGUGAAAACCAAACCCCGCAAGACCAAAAUUCAAACACUCAUCUUCCUUCGUUCACCUUCUCACUCUCUCUCGCAAACAGGAAAGAGGAGUCAAACCGUAUACACAAAUUUCAGAAAACCAAACCAGAUGAAGAUGGAGUGAGGAAGAUGAAGAUGACAUUACUUUGCAGAUCUGAGUCUUUUACAUUCAAAUCUUAUGGGUUUGCGUUCAGAUCUGGAUCUGGAUCUGAAUCGAUUUAAUUUAGGGUUUAUCUGGAUCUGGAUCUGAGUCUUUUUAGGGCUUUGCUGAAUCUUCUAUUAUGUGUUUUAGUAUUUGUUUAUUUACGGAACAUAAAUUAUUGCAGGCUUUUUAUUGAUAUUGUUGUUGAUUAUUUCAGUUGGUGAAGACAGAGAGUGUGGCUCUUCUUUUUUGUAUGGAGCCUUGCGAUAAUCUGGAUUUCUUGAAAGACAUGGAAUGGGAUCUGGGGUAUUGGUGUCCACUUAUUGAUAAUAUAUGUUUCUUGCAGUAGCUUUGUAAGCUUUAAGAUAUUAGGUAUAUCUUACAAUCAGAUCACCGGUGAAUCCCAUACAAUAUUGGGUCUCUCCAAGAUCAUUUGCUGAAUGAGGUGGUGACCCUUAUUUCUAAUCUAACUGAAGAGAAAAAUUAUGCUUGUAGAGUUGGAAGGAUAUAUUCGUGUCCUCGAUAUUAAGAGCAUGCAAUACCGUAUUCAACAUGAAAGUAUUACUCUAAACGAGGAGAAACAAAUCAUCAGAGAAAUAAAACAACUUCAAGGGACGAGGGAUAAGGUUAUUGCAAACGCUGCUAUGAGGGCUGAAGUUCAAAAAUUUGUUGGUGAAAAAGAUGCCAUUCAAGACAAGGUCAAAUCUAUUAGCGUUGAUCUUGACGAGGUCCGCAAGGAUCAUCAAGCUAUCAAGGCCAAAUUUAAGACACUCGAGACUGAAAAGGAGGCCAUAAACAAUGUGAUUGCUUCUUUAGAGGAGGAAUUGUGUGUAGUGAUCGAGAAAAAGGAUAAGGUCUAUCACAAAAUUCGUGAGCUGAGGAAUAAACGUGAAGAAGAGAAUACUUGCUUUUACCAAAGCCGCUCCCUCUUGAACGAUGCAAGAAGGCUAGCUGCAAGUAAGGACGUUAAUGCCCUUAUAGAGCUUUCAACCUCAGAGCUAUCUUUUAUUACCCAAUCAAGAAGUAGCUUAAAGAGGGAACUGGCCCUGAUACAGACAUUGGCCUUAUGAUCAUAUAAUGGGAAAGGAAUUAAUCCAAGUAGGUAUUGAGGCUGGUGCUAGAUUAUUUAUUAUGGAAGAAAUAUUGAGGUAAAGAUGAAGGUGAGUAGAUCGCUUAAGUUGACGAGGGGCGCUUCAAUUUGCACAAGGAAACUGGCAAGGGACAUGCUGGUCUUUUGGAAGAGAAUCGAUAAAGAAAUGGCUGAAAUAAGGAAAAAGGAAUAAAAAGAAGCUGCGGAAGCUUUGAAACGUGAACAGGAGCUUCGGCGCAGUGAGCGAGCGAGCGCAGCUGCAGCGGCGUGGCGAGCGCAGCCGCGACAAGCGUAGCAGCAUGGUUAACAAAAAUGGCAAUAUUCGUGUAUGGGACUUGACUGCAAGAAUGUAAGUUCAAUAUUCGUGUAUGGGACUUGACUGCACGGUUAACGAAAGGCUAUGUUAAAGCUUGGAAUGAAGCCCAUUCUUGGAAUGAAGCCCAUUCUUGGAGUCGGUCGUGUUAAAGCUUGGAAUGAAGCCCAUUCUUGAGGAGAAUCCUUCUGGUGGUAUAUUGCUACCAUCAACUGCAGAGUCAAAACCUCAAAGGUGGAUCUAAGUGUCAAGCUAAUGCUUCCUCUAUAUCAAGCUCUAAUGCUCUAAGGCAGGACAGUUCGGCAGCAACCUCCACGUCGAUGUCUCACCAUCUAUUUUUUGUCUCGAUUGUUCUUCAUUCGCGACGGUUUCGCUCAGAAUGGCUUCCAGUCAACAGGUCAAUUAAAAAAGGCUACAUUUGUUCGGGUCGGGUCGAAAUGGGUCGAUUAUUGAAUGUUGUUUUGGUUCAGCUAAAAAAUGAAUCGUUUCAACUCAUUUAAAUGUCACAUUUCCAAAGCGAUCCGUUUUUUACCUGAACUAAGCUAUCCGUUUUUGAAACUGGAUGUACUGUUGUUGGUGGAGGAAAUAUGGUUGGAAGUUUUUUCUUUAUAUAGUUCUACCCCAUAUGACUAGCUAAAAGCUAUCAUCAUUGGUAAGGUGUUUAAUUGAAUUUGUUUAAAAUUAGAUAUGUACUUUUAGUUGUUUGCCUAAAUAUUUGGAUGAUGAAGUACACUUGGGUUGAAGCGACCUGGUUUUUUAGAGAAAGGGGUGACUCCAGUUCAGAUGCGAGUUCAGAGCAUGGUGAGAUCACCGCUGAAGAUAUUUUGAUAUUCUUUUACCAGUUGGAUUUGGGGGAUUUGGGGCAACUGGUUAAAUGUGUCAUGUGGGUUACGGGUCAAACGCAACAUAGGUUUCUAGCAUUUUAUGAGUUACCUUUUUUAUUGUAAUAAACUAGCAGAAUCCUAUGUAUUGAUUCUUAUGUUAAAUAAAGAAACUCAUCUUUAGAUUAA
RNA transcript from Helianthus annuus (common sunflower), 2665 nucleotides. It is a transcript of the gene named proton pump-interactor 1, with no coding region annotated. The transcript is spliced from 13 exons. Lineage: Eukaryota; Viridiplantae; Streptophyta; Magnoliopsida; Asterales; Asteraceae. The record is from RefSeq and is a predicted model, not a curated record.